This 835-nucleotide ribosomal RNA is filed under the name Paraphoma fimeti. RNAcentral's name for it is "eukaryotic LSU rRNA". It matches the Rfam family "Eukaryotic large subunit ribosomal RNA", at positions 71 to 925 of the family's 3401-position model. Lineage: Eukaryota; Fungi; Ascomycota; Dothideomycetes; Pleosporales; Phaeosphaeriaceae. The record is from RNAcentral.
GGGAUUGCCCUAGUAACGGCGAGUGAAGCGGCAACAGCUCAAAUUUGAAAUCUGGCUCUUUCAGAGUCCGAGUUGUAAUUUGCAGAGGGCGCUUUGGAGUUGGCAGCGGUCCAAGUUCCUUGGAACAGGACGUCACAGAGGGUGAGAAUCCCGUACGUGGUCGCUAGCCUUCGCCGUGUAAAGCCCCUUCGACGAGUCGAGUUGUUUGGGAAUGCAGCUCUAAAUGGGAGGUAAAUUUCUUCUAAAGCUAAAUACUGGCCAGAGACCGAUAGCGCACAAGUAGAGUGAUCGAAAGAUGAAAAGCACUUUGGAAAGAGAGUCAAAUAGCACGUGAAAUUGUUGAAAGGGAAGCGCUUGCAGCCAGACUUGCCUGUAGUUGCUUAUCCGGACUCUUGUCCGGUGCACUCUUCUAUAGGCAGGCCAGCAUCAGUUUGGGCGGUUGGAUAAAGGUCUCUGUCACGUACCUCUCUUCGGGGAGGCCUUAUAGGGGAGACGACAUGCAACCAGCCUGGACUGAGGUCCGCGCAUCUGCUAGGAUGCUGGCGUAAUGGCUGUAAGCGGCCCGUCUUGAAACACGGACCAAGGAGUCUAACAUCUAUGCGAGUGUUUGGGUGUCAAGCCCAGACGCGUAAUGAAAGUGAACGGAGGUGGGAACCCUUUGGGUGCACCAUCGACCGAUCCUGAUGUCUUCGGAUGGAUUUGAGUAAGAGCAUGGCUGUUGGGACCCGAAAGAUGGUGAACUAUGCUUGAAUAGGGUGAAGCCAGAGGAAACUCUGGUGGAGGCUCGCAGCGGUUCUGACGUGCAAAUCGAUCGUCAAAUUUGGGCAUAGGGGCG